This 469-nucleotide ribosomal RNA is filed under the name uncultured bacterium. RNAcentral's name for it is "partial 16S ribosomal RNA". It matches the Rfam family "Bacterial small subunit ribosomal RNA", at positions 28 to 507 of the family's 1533-position model. The record is from RNAcentral.
GACGAACGCUGGCGGCGUGCUUAACACAUGCAAGUCGAACGGAAAGGCCCUGCUUGCAGGGUGCUCGAGUGGCGAACGGGUGAGUAACACGUGGGUGAUUUGCCCCUUACUUUGGGAUAAGCCUGGGAAACUGGGCCUAAUACUGGAUAGGACCAUGCUGUAGGUGGUGUGGUGGAAAGAUUAGUUUCGGUAAGGGAUGAGCUCGCGGCCUAUCAGCUUGUUGGUGGGGUAAUGGCCUACCAAGGCGUCGACGGGUAGCCGGCCUGAGAGGGUGGACGGCCACAUUGGGACUGAGAUACGGCCCAGACUCCUACGGGAGGCAGCAGUGGGGAAUAUUGCACAAUGGGCGCAAGCCUGAUGCAGCGACGCCGCGUGGGGGAUGACGGCCUUCGGGUUGUAAACACCUUUCAGCCAUGACGAAGCCCUUGUGGUGACGUUAGUGGUAGAAGAAGCACCGGCUAACUACGUG